GCAGCAAAAGGAACUCCUUUAUUGUGGUCGUCUCAUGAAAAAGAGAAACAAAUGUUGAAAAGGCAUGGAAGAAUGCAAUCUGGAUGUUGACAAUCAAGUGGCAAUUGAGUGCUCUUAUCUUUGCCUGCUCUGUCUUAAGAGCAUUGCAGACUGCUAGGCUGGGGUUAAGAUGUGGGUGUACAGGCUGAGGAUGGCCAGAUUGGCUUGUCACAAACUGGCCCACGUGGCCAUGACAGACCAUCCAAGCUAACUGCACUUAUCAUCUUCAUUUGGGACAGUGUUUCUGUUCAGUCAUCCCUGUCUGUAGCCACAGCAACCACUAAAAGAAGAAUGGAAAUUGGAUGAACUAAAAUUGUUAUAUUGUCUGAAGAACAACCUCAAAUAAAUACUAAUGUUGCUUCACA
Scatophagus argus is the source of this 404-nucleotide long non-coding RNA. RefSeq lists it as uncharacterized. The transcript is spliced from 3 exons. The record is from RefSeq and is a predicted model, not a curated record. Lineage: Eukaryota; Metazoa; Chordata; Actinopteri; Scatophagidae.